This is a long non-coding RNA of Humulus lupulus (European hop), 200 nucleotides long. RefSeq lists it as uncharacterized. Lineage: Eukaryota; Viridiplantae; Streptophyta; Magnoliopsida; Rosales; Cannabaceae. The transcript is spliced from 3 exons. The record is from RefSeq and is a predicted model, not a curated record.
GCAGAAACAAAUACUUUCCCGGAUGCUAGAGCUAGGCAUGACUCCAGUUCUGCCAUCAUUCUCUGGAAAUGUUCCAGCAACAUUACAGAAGAUACGUCCUUCAGCUAACAUUACUAGACUUGGGGAUUGGAACACUGUAAAUGGCGAUAAACGAUGGUGUUGUACUUACCUUCUUGCUCCUUCUGAUCCUUUGUUCGUUG